GGGUUGUGAGGUUAAGCGACUAAGCGUACACGGUGGAUGCCCUGGCAGUCAGAGGCGAUGAAGGACGUGCUAAUCUGCGAUAAGCGUCGGUAAGGUGAUAUGAACCGUUAUAACCGGCGAUUUCCGAAUGGGGAAACCCAGUGUGAUUCGUCACACUAUCAUUAACUGAAUCCAUAGGUUAAUGAGGCGAACCGGGGGAACUGAAACAUCUAAGUACCCCGAGGAAAAGAAAUCAACCGAGAUUCCCCCAGUAGCGGCGAGCGAACGGGGAGCAGCCCAGAGCCUGAAUCAGUGUGUGUGUUAGUGGAAGCGUCUGGAAAGGCGCGCGAUACAGGGUGACAGCCCCGUACACAAAAAUGCACAUACUGUGAGCUCGAUGA
Molecule: ribosomal RNA, 380 nt
Filed under: Escherichia coli
Lineage: Bacteria; Pseudomonadati; Pseudomonadota; Gammaproteobacteria; Enterobacterales; Enterobacteriaceae
Description: bacterial LSU rRNA
Rfam family: Bacterial large subunit ribosomal RNA
Source: RNAcentral